UAGGGAAUCUUCCACAAUGGACGCAAGUCUGAUGGAGCAACGCCGCGUGAGUGAAGAAGGGUUUCGGCUCGUAAAGCUCUGUUGUUAAGAGAACGUGGGUAAGAGUAACUGUUUACCCAGUGACGGUAUUUAACCAGAAAGCCACGGCUAACUACGUGCCAG
RNAcentral lists this ribosomal RNA (162 nucleotides) under uncultured bacterium. Its description in RNAcentral is "partial 16S rRNA". It matches the Rfam family "Bacterial small subunit ribosomal RNA", at positions 355 to 511 of the family's 1533-position model. The record is from RNAcentral.